UCGUAUGAAUCGAAGUUUCCAACAAAGAGUUAUAGGCAGCUCGGUAUCAAAAGGUCAGAAUCUCAGAAGUUGCACAGAUUCAAAUCGUUACGUCUAAACAGGAGAUAUAUCAAAUGCAAGGCUAGAACAAUUCAAAGUUCCUCAUAUUCAAAGCAAAUGUAGAGAUAAAAUUACAGUAAGGAAAGAUCAGGACACUUGCAAUAGGAAAGAUUAGAAAGCUUGCAAUAGGAAGGAUCGGAAUAC
RNAcentral lists this long non-coding RNA (243 nucleotides) under Musa acuminata (dwarf banana). RNAcentral's name for it is "long non-coding RNA (MACU_LNC007138)". The record is from RNAcentral. Lineage: Eukaryota; Viridiplantae; Streptophyta; Magnoliopsida; Zingiberales; Musaceae.